Molecule: long non-coding RNA, 691 nt
Organism: Syzygium oleosum
Lineage: Eukaryota; Viridiplantae; Streptophyta; Magnoliopsida; Myrtales; Myrtaceae
Exons: 2
Source: RefSeq, a predicted model, not a curated record
AAUACUAUACAUUAUAUAAUGGCCACGCGCUGUCGAGGUGUACUGGUUGUUCCAGAGGGCCAAAAGGCCAAACUUUGCUCUCACUGUUGCUUCAUCCAUCAGAAAAUGUCCGUCCCUUUGAUAGAUUAUUCUUUCUUCCAUCCAUCAUCCAUCGACACCCACCAAAACUCAUUGUAUUCGAUUUUCGACAAUUUUCUCCUUUUAUGAGCUUGAUGCCAUUGUGUUUUCAGCUGAAAAAACUUCAUUCCCAGAAAAAUACAAGGUAAUAUGGUGACGAAAAGGAAGGGCAAGAAUCACCACCACCGCAAGCAUGGCUCCAGCAAGAAGAGCCCACAAGGUGGUGGCAAAGGCAAAGCCAGGGCAUGUUGUUGUUGCCCUUGUCUUGCUGUUUCCUCUGUGGCUAGGGGAUUUGGGAGAUGUCUAUUUGUCACUUGUUAUCCAAUGAUUCAGUGCUUUGGAUGGGAUGAGAGAAGGCACCAUCACCAUCGCCAUCACAGGCACUUUUACUGAUGAUCUUUUCCAAUUCUCCUAGACUUGGGAUGGAACUUCUGAUGUUUCUUGGUUCUUUAUUUGUAAGUCUGUCGUCCCCUCUCAAUCACAAAAGAAGACAAAAGGGAAAAAGUUUUUUGGACAGAUUGUGUCAAAUUCAUCAUCCUCUGCUUUUAUUGUUGAAGAACGAAUAUUUUUAUUA